CAAUAGCAUAUAUUAACGUUGUUGCGGUUGAAAAGCUCGUAGUUGAACUUUUGGUAGGAGCGACCUGGCCUUGGGCGCAUGCCCUUGUUUGCCGUGUGUCGUAUCUGGCCAUCCUUUUCCGUUUCGGCGGGAAUCUUUUACUGUGAGUAAACUGGAGUGCUCAAAACAAGACGUUUGUUUGGUACAUUAAAGCAUGGAAUAAUAAGAUAGGACCUGGUUACUAUUUUGUUGGUUUGCAUAGCUAGGUAAUGAUUAACAGGGACAGUUGGGGGUAUUCGUAUUUAAUUGUCAGAGGUGAAAUUCUUGGAUUUAUGAAAGACGAACGACUGCGAAAGCAUUUACCAAGGAUGUUUUCAUUAA
Molecule: ribosomal RNA, 360 nt
Filed under: uncultured eukaryote
Lineage: Eukaryota
Description: partial 18S ribosomal RNA
Rfam family: Eukaryotic small subunit ribosomal RNA
Source: RNAcentral